This is a long non-coding RNA of Xiphias gladius (swordfish), 707 nucleotides long. RefSeq lists it as uncharacterized. The transcript is spliced from 3 exons. NCBI's taxonomy places the organism in Eukaryota, Metazoa, Chordata, Actinopteri, Istiophoriformes, Xiphiidae. The record is from RefSeq and is a predicted model, not a curated record.
AAAGCAGAUGUUAUUUUUCCUGCUUUCUCUCCAGGUUACACCACAGGCACCUGACCUGGAGAACCACAAAUCAUUAUCACCACCAUCGUAUCGCCAUCCCGCUGAACUCUCUCUUUUGUUCUGUGUGUGUAUGUGUGUCUGUGUUUGGGUUGUGGUGCUCCUCUGUCUCCCUCUCCCCUCUCUUUUUCAGCCACCUGCCUUCAAUCAGCCUACACACCUGCCUCUCAUCUACUCAAGUCUGCUGCAUAUAGUCCCAGGAUCUACAGCCACUCUUCACUCUUCCCAGGAUGACGUCUUGUUUCCUUGUCUGUGCAAUCUGCUGAGUACCAUGCUCAAGUUCCUCCACCAGCUUCAUCCAAUCCCACUCCGCCACUAACCGUAUGCCCACCUGCUUCACCAUCUGAUCCACCUCCACUCAAGACUAAAGGUUUCCCCGGUUACCGGCUUCCCCCACACCAUCUCCAGACUCUGCCACACUCAUCACCCCACGACCCGCUACCUCCAAAGACUCUGCCCGCCACCUCCAAUGGCAACCCCUGACCCACGGUCCGCAAGCACCCUGCAUCCAGCAAGCCUCUCCUUCCUCUCCCUGGUGAUCACAGCAGCUGCCCUUCCCAGCUCUCCUCCCUGCAACUCUCCUGCUCACAGGCUCCUCCCCUCACCCCACUAGCCCAAAGCCCCACUGCUCAUUCAGUCUUUGAAUAAAC